AGAGUUUGAUCAUGGCUCAGGAUGAACGCUAGCGGGAGGCCUAACACAUGCAAGCCGAGCGGUAUUGUUUCUUCGGAAAUGAGAGAGCGGCGUACGGGUGCGGAACACGUGUGCAACCUGCCUUUAUCUGGGGGAUAGCCUUUCGAAAGGAGGAUUAAUACUCCAUAAUAUAUUGAACGGCAUCGUUUAAUAUUGAAAGCUCCGGCGGAUAGAGAUGGGCACGCGCAAGAUUAGCUAGUUGGUGAGGUAACGGCUCACCAAGGCAAUGAUCUUUAGGGGCCUGAGAGGGUGAUCCCCCACACUGGUACUGAGACACGGACCAGACUCCUACGGGAGGCAGCAGUGAGGAAUAUUGGUCAAUGGGUGCAAGCCUGAACCAGCCAUCCCGCGUGAAGGACGACUGCCCUAUGGGUUGUAAACUUCUUUUGUAUAGGGAUAAACCUUUCCACGUGUGGAAAGCUGAAGGUACUAUACGAAUAAGCACCGGCUAACUCCGUG
RNAcentral lists this ribosomal RNA (498 nucleotides) under uncultured bacterium. RNAcentral's name for it is "bacterial SSU rRNA". It matches the Rfam family "Bacterial small subunit ribosomal RNA", at positions 8 to 507 of the family's 1533-position model. The record is from RNAcentral.